This 411-nucleotide ribosomal RNA is filed under the name uncultured bacterium. RNAcentral describes it as "bacterial SSU rRNA". It matches the Rfam family "Bacterial small subunit ribosomal RNA", at positions 370 to 772 of the family's 1533-position model. The record is from RNAcentral.
AAUGGGGGAAACCCUGACGCAGCAACGCCGCGUGGGUGAUGAGGGCCUUCGGGUCGUAAAGCCCUGUCGGGAGGGAAGAAAUGAUCGAGAGCUAAUACCUCUUGGUCUUGACGGUACCUCCGAAGGAAGCACCGGCUAACUCCGUGCCAGCAGCCGCGGUAAUACGUAGGUGGCGAGCGUUGUCCGGAAUUACUGGGCGUAAAGGGCGCGUAGGCGGCCUGUUAAGUCAGAUGUGAAACCCCCAGGCUCAACUUGGGGAUUGCAUAUGAAACUGAUGGGCUCGAGUGUCGGAGAGGAAAGCGGAAUUCCUAGUGUAGCGGUGAAAUCCGUAGAUAUUAGGAGGAACACCGGUGGCGAAGGCGGCUCUCUGGACCGAUACUGACGCUGAGACGCGAAAGCGUGGGUAGCAAA